GGUCAAUCGGUUUUUUUUUAUAAAUCAUUAAUACGGUGACUGAAUGGGUUCGUAUACAUAAACAAGUUCAAGUUAGUCUUCUGUUGUACUUGUGCUGUUGAAUGUUAUAUAACUUUCAGACGUUGAGAACAUUUGUUGGACGGACUAACGAUGAGCUCUGGAAGUAUCUGUGCACCACUGUGUGCAUACUUCUGCUUCUUUGUCGUACCAUUCAUAUUUCAAAGCGUUGGUCUCUUCACACCAAAGUGGGCCUCAAAUGCAACAUGUGACUCUAUUGGACUUAUGUAUAGUUGUUGCACCGGAAAUAACACUGAAGCCUGUCAAACUACAAAUGGAAGAAACAUGUUGGACGCCUGGGCUUUAGGGUUACACACUAUGUCGUUUGUAUUUAUGGUACUUGCUAUGUUGGUUUCGUUCUGUGGAGUAUCAAGUGCUUGCGGAAUGUGUCAUAGAUGUUAUGACAAGAAUGAGGAUUUUGGUGUUAAAACUGCUCGCCGGAUUUGCGAUAAGCUGUUCGGAGUAAUAUUGCAUUUGGUCGCUUUCCUGUUAUUUGCGAUUGCAGGUAAAAAUUAUGCUAGUAUAAUAAUAAUA
Mercenaria mercenaria is the source of this 591-nucleotide long non-coding RNA. RefSeq lists it as uncharacterized. NCBI's taxonomy places the organism in Eukaryota, Metazoa, Mollusca, Bivalvia, Venerida, Veneridae. The record is from RefSeq and is a predicted model, not a curated record. The transcript has 3 exons.